RNAcentral lists this ribosomal RNA (762 nucleotides) under Enterococcus faecium. RNAcentral's name for it is "bacterial SSU rRNA". It matches the Rfam family "Bacterial small subunit ribosomal RNA", at positions 37 to 769 of the family's 1533-position model. The record is from RNAcentral. Lineage: Bacteria; Bacillati; Bacillota; Bacilli; Lactobacillales; Enterococcaceae.
AAACGGGGAUGCUAUAAUGCAAGUCGAACGCUUCUUUUUCCACCGGAGCUUGCUCCACCGGAAAAAGAGGAGUGGCGAACGGGUGAGUAACACGUGGGUAACCUGCCCAUCAGAAGGGGAUAACACUUGGAAACAGGUGCUAAUACCGUAUAACAAUCAAAACCGCAUGGUUUUGAUUUGAAAGGCGCUUUCGGGUGUCGCUGAUGGAUGGACCCGCGGUGCAUUAGCUAGUUGGUGAGGUAACGGCUCACCAAGGCCACGAUGCAUAGCCGACCUGAGAGGGUGAUCGGCCACAUUGGGACUGAGACACGGCCCAAACUCCUACGGGAGGCAGCAGUAGGGAAUCUUCGGCAAUGGACGAAAGUCUGACCGAGCAACGCCGCGUGAGUGAAGAAGGGUUUCGGGACGUAAAACUCUGUUGUUAGAGAAGAACAAGGGUGAGAGUAACUGUUCAUCCCUUGACGGUAUCUAACCAGAAAGCCACGGCUAACUACGUGCCAGCAGCCGCGGUAAUACGUAGGUGGCAAGCGUUGUCCGGAUUUAUUGGGCGUAAAGCGAGCGCAGGCGGUUUCUUAAGUCUGAUGUGAAAGCCCCCGGCUCAACCGGGGGAGGGUCAUUGGAAACUGGGGAGAAUUGAGUGCAGAAGAAGAGAGUGGAAUUCCAUGUGUAGCGGUGAAAUGCGUAGAUAUAUGGAAGAACACCAGUGGCGAAGGCGGCUCUCUGGUCUGUAACUGACGCUGAGGCUCGAAAGCGUGGGGGAGC